Molecule: long non-coding RNA, 2361 nt
Organism: Alligator mississippiensis (American alligator)
Lineage: Eukaryota; Metazoa; Chordata; Crocodylia; Alligatoridae
Exons: 2
Source: RefSeq, a predicted model, not a curated record
GAUAACAGAGGAAUUCAAGUCUUGUCCAGUGGAAAACAAAGCAGGAGAUAAGUCUGUGAAAUGAAAGAAUGGACUUGUAUCAGUCAACAGGAGAGAUGAACUCAAUCUUGCAGAAUUGGAAGUCAUGAUUUCGCCAACACGAUCAUGAGCUGGAUAGACAAUGACUGACCUACUAUGGACUACAAUGAUGAUUUUUAGCACAAGAUUCAAAACCUGAGAAUACAGAACGUCUUAGUUUUCCUGCCAACCUGAAAUCAGAAAAUGAUGGCAUUUGAAAAAAAACAACAAACAAACAAACAAACAAAACUAAUGUUAGGAAUCUGAAUUGUUAUUUUUCAGGUUUGAAUUAUGUUAUUGAAGUUUAUCCAAACAUAGAUUUAAACCUCCAAACCUUUUGCUGCUGUUUUCCUAUCUUUAAUAUGGAUGUGUCUUAUCUUACAAAAAAGUCAAAAGAGACAGAAUUUUUCUGAGCUGCUAAUAAACCACUCAUGUUGAAACUCAAUAGGAAAACAAAGAAAGUAUAAAUACUGAAAUUAAUUUAAAUAAGAUAACAUCAUAAGUGAAUCAAUAUUAAAGAAAAUUUUAAAAGUGAGAACAGCAGGAGAUAUUUCCUUAUGAAUUUGAAGAUAUAAGAUGAUAAUAUUUCUGCCAUUUAUAUAUUACUGAGCAUCAUUAUUUUCAAAUCUGGUCUUGCAGAAAGGUGAAACCAUGUAAGCUUUUACAUGAAAGUUACUCCCAAUCAUGAAUAAUUUUCAAUUGCAAGAACAAGUGAAUCGUGUUAAGAUUUAUCAUAGAUACAAAGGUGUGGUUCAGCACCUGUUCAUUUUUUUGCAAGUAAAACAUUCAAUUCAUUUGGCUUAUUUGAACUAAUGAGUGUAGUUAUAAUGGCAUUGUACCUAUAAUAUUACUUUGUUUUACUUUAGGGUGACAAUCUUUCAUAUUUGAUUAUUGCAAUGUAAUUAAUAAAUAGCUUUAUGAAACUGUAAGUCACGUCAAAAUAUGCGCAUCACAAAAAAUAUAUAUGUGCUGUGCUGAUAUCAGAGAUCUGCAGAUGUGGCAUCUUUAAUUCCCAGGGAAAGGAGGCAUCAAAUCUUACAUCACUAAGAAAAAAUGCCUGGGCCCUGCUCCCACUGAAGAUUAUGGCAACAUUUCUACUGACUUCAAAGGAUGCACUAAUUAACUUCAGUGAGAACAGAAUGGCAGGAUCCUCUAAGGGAGCAGAGUUCAGCUCAUCUGGAUGAAGAUUAUGCACACAGGUAGUUGACCUCCACAAAGUGAAGGAGGAUGAUUACCCAAUGACUUAUAGGGCUAAAGCAUUCAUCAAAAUGUUUUAACUUAAAAUUAGUCGUAUUCUUAGAUUGUCUUCCUUUUAUGUCAUUUAAAAAAAAAAGGGGGGGGGGAAAGAAAUGGAAACACUGCAUGUCACAAAAUUAGAUUCACAGGCACAUCAUGGAGGGCAAGCAAAAGUUCAUAUAAAAAAAUAAGAAGUUGUACCAGUUUAAGAGGAGUUCUGGGAAGAUUAUUUCAGAAAGAAACAAUCCACCUCCCCUCUGCCCUUUAUAGCUCCUUACAUUCAUGGAUGUAAUUGGAAACACAUAAACAGACAUGCACGCUCUGCUCCCCCUUUGUAUGCUUUGGCACAAAGACCCACUAGACAGGAAUAAUCCCUGAACACUCUGAAUUUAGACAUUGCUCUCAUAUUGGGCUUUUGAAUGUCAGUGUAGGUAUAGCCCUUCCAGGUGCCUGUGUGCAGGGACCAGAUGGAAUUAGGCCUUCAUUUCUAACCAUUCUUGCAAUAUGGUACAAAGGUAUCUUUAUAAGGAAACGAGCUGCUAUGCCAGUCACAAACGGAGUCAUAAAAAAUUUUCUCUUUAUAACUUCAGUACAACAUGUACAAUGUCAUCUUUCACUUAUCCCAUGAACCUCAAUGAAGUGUUAACUUCAAAGUUUAAAGGCUUGGCUAUAUUUUUUUUUCCAGAAUUCCCACUGUUACUAAUGCUGAGCCAAUGUUUGCAACAUUUUGAGAUUUCACACAGAUGACUUGUUGGUUGCUGACACGCCUUACAGGAUGGGGCUUAUUAAAAUGGCUAUGCGUUGUUUAGAUGAGAUGAGAUGAGAUGAGAGUUGUUAUAAGUGGACAUAAACAUAUUAGGAUUCCUGAUGUUAAUGUUCCUGAUGUUAGCCAUGUUGAGAAUAAUGCCCGUUUAAUGUUUUUUUUUUAAAUGUUAUUGACUGGAAAGGCAGUAUUUAAAACAUCUUUAUGUUCUCUCAUCCUUUUUUACCCAAAAUGGAGUUUAGUUUAGGGAAAACCUGUAAAAUUUCAAACAAAAUAAAAUCAUAAUAGUUGUGUGUUAAAGAGAA